AGAGUUUGAUCAUGGCUCAGAAUGAACGUUGGCGGCGUGGAUUAGGCAUGCAAGUCGCGGGAAUCCAGCAAUGGGGAACCGGCGUAAGGGGCAGUAAUGCGUGGGUAUCUACCCUCGGGUCUGGCAUAGCCCUUCGAGAGAAGGGGUAAUUCCAGAUGAUGUCGUGAGACCAAAGGUCCGCCGCCCGGGGAGGAGCCCACGUGAUAUUAGGUAGUUGGCGGGGUAAUGGCCCACCAAGCCUUAGAUGUCUAGCAGGUGUGAGAGCACGACCUGCGCCACUGGCACUGAGAACUGGCCAGACACCUACGGGUGGCUGCAGUCGAGGAUCUUCGGCAAUGGGCGCAAGCCUGACCGAGCGACGCCGCGUGGGCGAUGAAGGCCUUCGGGUUGUAAAGCCCUGUCGAGGGGGAGAAAAGAGCAAUCUUGAUCUAUCCCUGGAGGAAGCACGGGCUAAGUUCGUGCCAGCAGCCGCGGUAAGACGAACCGUGCGAACGUUAUUCGGAAUCACUGGGCUUAAAGGGUGCGUAGGCGGGUUGCCAAGUCUGUGGUGAAAUCCUCCGGCUUAACCGGAGAACUGCCGUGGAUACUGGCGACCUCGAGGGGGGUAGGGGCUUGCGGAACUGUGCGUGGAGCGGUGAAAUGCGUUGAUAUGCACAGGAACUCCGGUGGCGAAGGCGGCGAGCUGGACCCCUUCUGACGCUGAGGCACGAAAGCCAGGGGAGCGAACGGGAUUAGAUACCCCAGUAGUCC
This 750-nucleotide ribosomal RNA is filed under the name uncultured bacterium. RNAcentral's name for it is "bacterial SSU rRNA". It matches the Rfam family "Bacterial small subunit ribosomal RNA", at positions 8 to 796 of the family's 1533-position model. The record is from RNAcentral.